This is an RNA transcript of Salvia hispanica, 3042 nucleotides long. It is a transcript of the gene named mitotic checkpoint family protein, with no coding region annotated. NCBI's taxonomy places the organism in Eukaryota, Viridiplantae, Streptophyta, Magnoliopsida, Lamiales, Lamiaceae. The record is from RefSeq and is a predicted model, not a curated record.
UUUAUUGCCUUUUUCAAUAUUGAAGCCCUAAUAUUUGCUAUUUUUUGUUUCCCUUCAAUCAGAUCAAAUACAGAUAGAUGUUUGGAAAAUUGAGAAAUUGAGCAAGACAACUGAAGAAGAUGAUGCUCAGAACACCGCCGCCGAGGAAGAGGAGAGCAGAAUCUCCGCUGCAGGAAGACAAUAACAACAAUAACAAUACGACUCUGAGCCCCAGUUCCAGUCGGCAGCUGCUGGUUUACGAGGACUUGCCGGUGGCGGAAUAUUCGCACGACCACUCCAUUCCAACAAGCUCCGAGCAGAUGCUCUGCACCUAUCAAUGCCGACAGAUGGUGAAAUCAGAAUUUUUCGAUGCUCUAAGCAGUGCAGAAAAACAAGCACAUGAUUAUCAAUCUAAAUUUGAAGCACUCAAUGAGGGUUUUGAAAAAUCUGAAUCAGAGAGAAAGAAAUUACGAGAUAAAUUUUUCAACACCGAGCAGGAACUAGCUGCUACUAGAGGACGUGAACAUAUAUUACAGGAGCAACUAAGGAAGGAGGUCGAUUUUUCUCAAGAACAACUCAAAAAGCAACUACAGGCCUUUAAUGAGCUUGAGAUAAAGUUUCAGAAUGAGACGCGUCUGCGCAAAAAUGCUGAGACAUCAGCUGCUAAAGCUGAAGAAAGAGCACAAAUAUUAGAGGAGAAGCUAAAUACUCUAUCAGAAAGCAUAGAUAGGGAAAAGGGCCGUCUUCAAAAUGAGCUUGCUCAAAUGAGAAGUGACACAAAGCUGUCUGUUUCUAGAAUAAGUGCCGAUCUUGAAAGAAUGGAAUGCAGAGCCAAAAAUGCAGAGAAAGAGUCGGAAUUACUGAAAGUACAGUUAGAAGGACUGAAAGAGCAACUAGAUAAGUCCAUGCAGGAGAAAUUUGAGUUGCAGAAAAAAUUGUCCUCGGAAUCUUUAGAAGCUCCUUCGAAAGACAAUAGUUUGUUGGUGAAACAUUUGCAAGAAGAACUGAGGAACUAUGAGUCUGAAGUUCGUGAAGCUAGAAAGAUAAAAGCUUCUCAGGAAGACAUAGAAUUAUUGAAAGAAAAGUUGCAUGAAGAAAAGAGCCGCAAGGAGAGGGCAGAGUUGGAACUACUAAAGUUAUCCGACCUCAAGUCAAACAUGAAGAAUCUGGAGGAUGAGGUGUCCACAUGGAAAUCAGUGAUUAAGGAACUUCCUGGUGUGUCAUCUGUAGAUGAUAUACCUUCUGAAUUUGCAGCUUUACAGAAGAAGGUGGUCGAUAGCAUGAGGAAUGAAAGUGAGACCCGGGAAAAGGUCAUAGAAUUUCAGGUGGCUCUUGAUAAGGCUAUUCUUGACAAACAAAAUGCAGAAACUGAGGCUGCCAUGGUGAAAGAGAAGGCAGAGUCAUGUAAAGCAGAAAUCAAAAGGCUGGAACUGAUGCUAGGUUUGAUUACAGAGGAAAGAGACCGCUUGAAAGAUGUUAUUAAGGAAUUAAAAGAGCAUAAGGAUCUUGAAGGUGGAUCUGGAUUGGUCAGUGGAACUAUAUUCCAGGAGCUUGAAAUAUCUCUGGUCAAGAAGGAAAACUAUGUCAGGCAACUAGAAAAUAGCUUAUCAGAAAUAAAGGAGAGUAAUAGUCGACAGCAUAAUGAGAUAAUGUUGCUCAAUGAAAGGUUAACUAAUGAAGGAAGACGAGUAAAGAUGCUAGAGCGUGAAGGUGAUCGCCUACGUUCAGAGAUAUCUUUGUUGGAGUCUAAGUUGGGACAUGGCGAUUUUUCUUCUGCCAAUACAAAGGUCCUCCGGAUGGUUAACACCCUGGCUGUUGAGAACGAGGCAAAACUAACAAUAGAGGCUCUGCAAAAUGAGCUGCAAAAGACAAAAGAAAAGUUACUGGCUGUAGAAGAGCUUAAAAAUCAGUCAUCUGAUGCUGGCACACAUGUUGACUCGUACGUUGCUGGGAAGAUUAAGCAGUUGAAAGAGCAGAUUGCAACACUUGAAAAACGCGAGGAGAGGUACAAGACAGUCUUUGCAGAAAGAAUCUCUGUUUUCAGAAGGGCAUGUUGUGAACUUUUUGGUUACAAGAUUGUGAUGGAUGAUCACCAACGGCCAGAUGGAAUUCCAGUCACACGAUUUACUCUGCAUUCGAUCUAUGCACUGAGUGAUGAUGAGAAGCUUCAAUUCGAAUAUGAAUCAGGGAACACAAAUAUUGUGGUGAAUGCGUAUACUUCACAACCUGAGAUAUCUCGACAGGUUGAUAUAUUUAUCCGGAAGAUGAAUUCGAUUCCUGCCUUCACGGCUAAUCUGACCAUGGAAUCUUUCAAUAAGCGUACUCUAUCAUGAAAUGUGGCAGCACAGCAGUAUUGAUUUUCACUUCUCUUUGUUUGUGAUUACUCUUUUAAUAAAGGAGGAACUCAAACUGAACCUCUCAUUCCAAUCAAUCAUGUCUUGUAGUUUAAAACGCAUUGUAUGUUUAAAAGGGUAGAUUGAAGGUGGUAUUGGUGAAAAAAGCAGAGGUCUUCCACCAACCUAAACCUUGCAUCAAGUGGGAUCUCUAUAUUUACAGCUAAGUUUCAAAACUUGAGAUAAUUCUCGUGUCAUGGAGUUCGGACAUGUUUGGAUGAGUAACUAAUGGUGUAGCUUUCGGUGGCCUAAUUUUUAGAUCUAAUGGCGUAGCUUUCAGCGACCUAAUGGCGUAGCUUUCGGGCAUGGAUGCAAGCCACAACUUCUGGUAGAGGAAUGAGGUAUGAAUUUUGGUCGAGUUUGAGGUCAAACUCAAUAAAGCAUGAGGCAGUGGAAACAUAAAGCCAUUAGAGAAGGUCCUAUGUUUGCUCUUAUUGCAUUUUGGAAUAGCAUUGGAUUCCUCAAAACUCCUCCACUGUGACUAUGGGGGUAAUGUCUUUCACUUUCACCACAGUGCAAAAUGUCAUAGGCCAUGGAAUUAAUUUGAAAUUGAGGCUGUUAUUUGGUUUACAAUUGUGGAAUCGUCAGCUUAUCUUACUUAGGUGACUAGAAUUAAAAACAUCGUACAUGUGCGGUUUGACAUCUUGGAAUGGAUCUUAUCUUGAUGAGA